CACAAAAGGUCAAAACCAUGGAAAAGUCUAUUUGGUGAUUACCAGGUCCAAAACGAAUUUGCAAAAGUAGGAAGCAGUGAAGCAGUCUCGCUUUUCUUUGGAAAAACAUCAAACAGAAGACAAUGAAUAUAUACGGAGUGUAUAUAAUGCAAAACACAAACCCAAAACUUGAAAGAAAAGGAAAAGCAAAAACAAACUUGUCUCUGAUAAUGGCCAAUCACCCAUCUCCUCUAUUCUUCAUUGUUCUCCAUUCUUGAUCAUUCUUUACUCAGGUAUAAGAAAAUGAGUAAAAAUAACCUACAAUGGAAGCUUAUUGCCUUUGGUGAAUAUGGAGUAUCCAAGAAGUUUAACCCAACAAAACUUCUGGAAUUUAGCUACCUCGAGUAUUUUGACACCGCAAUAGGAGCGAAGUAAUCCACCCUCUUUGGGAAGUUUUAACUCUUUGAGAAAGGAUUCUGUCAAACGAAAGAGUAAUACUCAGAGCCUAAUGAUCUGGUACAGUACAACACAGUCUUGGAGUCCUAAUUGAAUGUAAGGGGUGGAAAUAAACGUGCUCACUGCUAUGUCCACGUCCAAGAAAUUCCACUUUAAUCAUAUUACUGUAUCACUUACACCACAUUAUCAAGCAUCGUUUCGCUAAGCUGAACUACUUUCCAUUUUGUAACCAUUUAGAUUACUGCUCCUUGGUUGUUGUUGUUGAUUUUAAUGACCUUUCAGAUUACUAUAACUCCUCAAGUUUCCCUACUUUGAGAGGAACAAAGACGAGCGUGGUUUUAUAGCAAUUAAGAGUCCUAAUAGGAAUUAAUAAGGAUUGUUAUUUAAUUACUAUGAAGUGUUUUUACAUAUUUGUACCUUAAUAUUAAAAUGAUCAUUUUAUUUUUAAAGGGUAAAAA
Molecule: long non-coding RNA, 893 nt
Organism: Lycium ferocissimum
Lineage: Eukaryota; Viridiplantae; Streptophyta; Magnoliopsida; Solanales; Solanaceae
Exons: 2
Source: RefSeq, a predicted model, not a curated record